AUGGCGGGCAUCGGGGUUGAACUGUGGCUGCUCGCGUACUCCGGCGCGGGUGGAACCAGCAGCGAGGAGGAGAAGGGAGCAGGGGCGCGCGACUGGAGGAGGUCGCUCAGGCAAGGCAGCAACUUCAGUGGGUCCGAUGGUGGACUUGGAGCUCCGGACGGUGAGGGACUUGAGGCCAUGGGGGUCCAGGUGGCACGGUCGUUGGUGGCGACAGCGGAGGCGCUGGCCUGCUUCAGCGGAGCGAGAACGAUGGGCAUCGGGUGA
RNAcentral lists this ribosomal RNA (264 nucleotides) under Triticum aestivum (bread wheat). RNAcentral describes it as "partial small subunit ribosomal RNA". Lineage: Eukaryota; Viridiplantae; Streptophyta; Magnoliopsida; Poales; Poaceae. The record is from RNAcentral.